Molecule: ribosomal RNA, 445 nt
Filed under: uncultured bacterium
Lineage: Bacteria
Description: partial 16S ribosomal RNA
Rfam family: Bacterial small subunit ribosomal RNA
Source: RNAcentral
GUGAGGAAUAUUGGACAAUGGGCGCAAGCCUGAUCCAGCCAUGCCGCGUGCAGGAAGACGCAUCUAUGGUGUGUAAACUGCUUUUGUACGGGAAGAAACACUCCCUCGUGAGGGAGCUUGACGGUACCGUAAGAAUAAGGAUCGGCUAACUCCGUGCCAGCAGCCGCGGUAAUACGGAGGAUCCAAGCGUUAUCCGGAAUCAUUGGGUUGAAAGGGUCCGUAGGCGGUUUAAUAAGUCAGUGGUGAAAGCCCAUCGCUCAACGAUGGAACGGCCAUUGAUACUGUUAGACUUGAAUUACAAGGAAGUAACUAGAAUAUGUAGUGUAGCGGUGAAAUGCUUAGAUAUUACAUGGAAUACCAAUUGCGAAGGCAGGUUACUACUUGUGGAUUGACGCUGAUGGACGAAAGCGUGGGGAGCGAACAGGAUUAGAAACCCUGGUAGUCC